UUUAACUGAAGAGUUUGAUCAUGGCUCAGAUUGAACGCUGGCGGCAGGCUUAACACAUGCA
This 61-nucleotide ribosomal RNA is filed under the name Acinetobacter baumannii. RNAcentral describes it as "partial 16S ribosomal RNA". RNAcentral also lists the same sequence under 2 other names. Lineage: Bacteria; Pseudomonadati; Pseudomonadota; Gammaproteobacteria; Moraxellales; Moraxellaceae. The record is from RNAcentral.